RNAcentral lists this ribosomal RNA (1334 nucleotides) under metagenome. Its description in RNAcentral is "bacterial SSU rRNA". It matches the Rfam family "Bacterial small subunit ribosomal RNA", at positions 67 to 1435 of the family's 1533-position model. The record is from RNAcentral.
UGCUUUAUAGCAAUAUAAGGCAUGGCAAACGGGAGAGUAACACAUUGGUAACCUACCCUGAAGACGAGAAUACCCUCGAGAAAUCGGGAAUAAUACUCGAUAAUAGUGAGGGGGCACAAGCCAUUCUCACUUAAAACUUCGGUGCUUCAGGAGGGACCUAUGGCCUAUCAGCUAGUUGGUAAGGUAAUGGCUUACCAAGGCUACGACGGGUAACGGGUGUGAGAGCAUGACCCGUCUCAUUGGGACUGAGACAAUGCCCAGACUCCUACGGGAGGCUGCAGUCGAGAAUCUUCCUCAAUGGCCGAAAGGCUGAAGGAGCGACGCCACGUGCAUGAAGAAGCCCUUCGGGGCGUAAAGUGCUUUUAAUUGGGACGAAUCAAUGACGGUACCAGUUGAAUAAGGGGCUGCUAACCUCGUGCCAGCAGCAGCGGUAAUACGAGGGCCCCAAGCGUUAUCCGGAUUUAUUGGGCGUAAAGAGUCCGUAGGCGGUUUGUCGCAUCUCCUGUUAAAUCCUUCGGCCUAACCGAGGGGCAGCGGGAGAGAUGGAUAAACUAGAGACCGGAAAAAGUAAGCGGAAUUGCUGGUGUAGGGAUUAAAUCCGUUAAUAUCAGCAAGAACACCAAAUGCGAAGGCAGCUUACUGGGACGGUUCUAACGCUAAAGGACGAAAGCGUGGGUAGCGAAUGGGAUUAGAUACCCCAGUAGUCCACGCCGUAAACGAUGGAUGCUAAGCAUUGAGAGUAUCGACCCUUUCAGUGCUGUUAAUUUAAGGUAACCCGUUAAGCAUCCCGCCUGGGGAGUACGAGCGCAAGCUUAAAACUCAAAGGAAUAGACGGGGACCCGCACAAGCGGUGGAGCAUGUGGUUUAAUUCGACGGUAAACGAAACCUCACCAAGGUUUGACAUCAGGCUGCACGCCCUGGAAACAGGGAAUCCUUCGAGGGUGCCUGACAGAUGCUGCAUGGUUGUCGUCAGCUCGUGUCGUGAGAUGUACCGUUAAGUCGGAAAACGAGCGCAACCCUUAUCCUGUGUUUUAUUUGUCUCAGGAGACUGCCCGUUUUAAAUGGGAGGAAGGUGGGAUGACGUCAAAUCAGCAUGGUUCUUACACCUUGGGCUACACACGUGCUACAAUGGGAAUUACAAAGGGCUCCAAGCCGUAAGGCGGAGCAAAUCCCUAAAAAGUUCUCUCAGUUCGGAUUGAGGUCUGCAAUUCGACCUCAUGAAGCUGGAAUCGCUAGUAAUCGUGGAUCAGCUAUGCCACGGUGAAUACGUUCUCGGGUCUUGUACUCACCGCCCGUCAAGUCAAGGGAGUCGGCAGUACCCGAAGGCCCCCGCC